UACUGUGGUAGUUUUCUUUUGGCACAUUUGUUAAAUUUUUAAAUGGGCCUGAUUCUGCCACAGAUAUUAUACAGGAGCCAGCAAAGGCUUGAUGACAAAGAGACUCCUCUCUGGCCUUUCCGGGAUGCAGAAGUUGGCUCCCACAUGU
Artibeus jamaicensis (Jamaican fruit-eating bat) is the source of this 148-nucleotide small nucleolar RNA. RefSeq annotates it as small nucleolar RNA SNORA12. NCBI's taxonomy places the organism in Eukaryota, Metazoa, Chordata, Mammalia, Chiroptera, Phyllostomidae. The record is from RefSeq and is a predicted model, not a curated record. The transcript has a single exon.